GGCCAGACAAGAAGAAAAAAAAAGUGAAUAGAGUAGGUGGAAUGCAAAAGCGGUCGACAUAUUUGCUAGAGGCGAUGGCAAAGUUAGUUGUAGUUGUUACCCAAAAGUAGAGGUAGACAGAAUACUUGUUAAAUGCAAUCCAUUUUUAAAACAAACCUCGAGGAGAGAUGAUUACCGAUAUUCCUAAAUGAUAUGAGAGUUAAUUUCAGAAUAAAGGCUUUUAAGAGAGUUCAGGUCGACAUUUUUGCCCUUUGAGCUAAAAUGUUCACCUUGUGUAUGUGUGUGCGCGUGACAAUAUUUUUCUUUUUAUGUAAAGAAACAAAGAAAUAAUUAGUGGAGGGAUGUUUUUAUAGAUUGAAGUGAAAGAGGAAAGGGAUCUUCAAAAUUAAACGAGUUACUAAGGCUACACACACACACACACACCUAUAAAUACAUAUCUUGCAUGCAAAGAAUGGGAGAAAGUUUAAAUACUUUGUGUGCGCGCUAGUGUACCGGGUGAAGGUGUGUGUGUGUGUGUGUACAUUUGUGAUGGUGCGUUUGCUCAUCAGUUUUUGUGUAACGAUGUACGUGCUAGCUCGUCUACACUUUCACCUGUUUAAGCUUAUAGACUCCGGUCAUGCUGGGGCACCGCCAUUGUUGUUUGAAUAUCAAGACUUUUUCAUAUAUGGUGCUUCUGUAACUACAUUUAUCUGACGAUGCUUCGUACAACGGCUGUGAACUCGAUUAAAAGAAUGUAUUAUGAAGUUCAGGGUUCAAUCGCCGUGUGCGGCAUCUCGGGUAAAACAGAAACAAUUCCUGAAGUAGAGUCAACCGUGAACCAACCCGAAGUGUCGGUUAAAAGAGAAUAUGCAUAUGUAGGGUCCUGAACAGAUACAUUAAACAAACUCCCCGUAUCGGUUUCAUAGAUGACAAAGCUUUUUUGUGGUACGGAGGCCCUCCUUCUCCUCACCUGGACUAUUGAAGAGUAGGAAGCUGCAUCAUCCCCUAAAGGUACCCAUAAAUGGGUGGGAUUAGACAUGUGUCGGAUUGGAUUCACACGUUUUCCAUAUAGUCCAAUUUUAACAAGAGAUGGUCGACUUCGAUGUCCAGUAUCGUCUGUAGCAUGAACUUUGAGUAAAGGAAGAUCCAUGUUUUGAUAUAGCGACUUGGUGACAUAAAUAAAUCCACUGGACGGAUUUAUUGCAAAA
Long non-coding RNA from Octopus sinensis (East Asian common octopus), 1187 nucleotides. RefSeq lists it as uncharacterized. The transcript is spliced from 2 exons. The record is from RefSeq and is a predicted model, not a curated record. NCBI's taxonomy places the organism in Eukaryota, Metazoa, Mollusca, Cephalopoda, Octopoda, Octopodidae.